Ailuropoda melanoleuca (giant panda) is the source of this 73-nucleotide non-coding RNA. Lineage: Eukaryota; Metazoa; Chordata; Mammalia; Carnivora; Ursidae. The record is from Rfam.
ACCUGGCUGGCUCAGUUGGUAGAGCAUCUGACUCUUGAUCUCAGGGUCAUGAAUUCAAGCCUCAUGCUGGGCA